CAGCAGCCGCGGGAAUACGGAGGGUGCAAGCGUUAAUCGGAAUUACUGGGCGUAAAGCGUGUGUAGGUUGUUGUUCAAGUCAGUUGUGAAAUCCCUGGGCUCAACCUGGGAACUGCUUCUGAGACUGAACGACUAGAGUACGGUAGAGGGUGGUGGAAUUUCCGGUGUAGCGGUGAAAUGCGUAGAUAUCGGAAGGAACAUCAAUGGCGAAGGCAGCCACCUGGGCCUGUACUGACACUGAGACACGAAAGCGUGGGGAUCAAACAGGAUUAGAUACCCCAGUAGUCCCUGUCUCUUAUAC
RNAcentral lists this ribosomal RNA (301 nucleotides) under uncultured bacterium. Its description in RNAcentral is "partial 16S ribosomal RNA". It matches the Rfam family "Bacterial small subunit ribosomal RNA", at positions 509 to 807 of the family's 1533-position model. The record is from RNAcentral.